This is a long non-coding RNA of Beta vulgaris subsp. vulgaris (sugar beet), 5606 nucleotides long. RefSeq lists it as uncharacterized. The transcript is spliced from 7 exons. The record is from RefSeq and is a predicted model, not a curated record. Lineage: Eukaryota; Viridiplantae; Streptophyta; Magnoliopsida; Caryophyllales; Amaranthaceae.
CAAAUGAAUUAUUCCUAGUAAUUGAACUUUAAUAAUGAUUUCGCGCGCUAACGUAUCUACUAGCCUAGUUUACUUGAACGUUGUAAGUUGAGAGAUGAUUUGAAUCUCCAUUGCUGCAUUCAAUAUUAACCUCUUCAACUUCAACUACAGAAGGGUUGAAGAACAGUUGGGGCCGGGAUUCCUCGAGACUCUACGUAGUGCUCCAUAGUUGUGUGUCCCAACUCCCAAGAAGUCCAUCUAUGCAGUUUAUAGAGACUUUGGUUUGCUGAUUGCUUUGGAGUGUGCUGGAUUUUAUCCAUGAAAAAGUGAAGGAAAUCACUGAGACAUACGCAGGACUGGUGAACACAUCUGCAAGCUGCUGAGAACUUGGAAAAUAAGUAGGAGCAACAAUACCUUUAGUCGACUUGUCUCUGAUGAAGUGGCAGUCUAUUCAACAGGUUUAGUCUUCUCAUGUUGAACAGGGUUGGCUGCAAUGGGCCAAUGGCUAAAGCUGCCUGAUUGUCACAGUGAAUUGCAGUAGUACCUAGGUUCUUCAGGCCAAGAUCCCUGAGUAGUUUUUGAAAGCUGAACUUCUAUCUACCAAGCUUGUGUUUUCGCUUAUGAACAGGUUAAAGUUUCCGGCUUUGGUGGUUGGUUUCUUACUCUCACUUCAUGAUCCUGUUCUACCACUUAACAUUUAUGUAGACGAUAAAGUCAGUUUUUGAGGCACCCAUUUGAAUUGUUAAAUGUAUAGUUUGCAAUCGAGGAAUCAAUGAUGAAGCUGUGAACUUAGCACUUGCUGCUCACAAAGCUGUUGGGAAGUCACGAGCUUUGGACAUGUCAUCAUUGGAUAAAUUAAUUAAUAGAAGUUGAGUGUGCUCGAGUGAGCAUGUUUUGCUCACCAUGGGGAGUGGUGCUUGGAGUUCAAGGUUUCUGGAGCUGCUGUAAUCUCCGAGGGGAAACGCUGCUGUAAUCAAUGAUAGGAAACGCUGCUCUUUUUCGCUUGCAAAAAUGGAGAAGCCUGGAGGUAUAAGCAUUUGAAGCAAUGCAAAUUUUGGGAGUUCACUACAUAUGACAAGGCAAGCUGACCUUUCCAUAAAAUGAUUCUUGUAAAAUGAUACAUCUGCUUAUAGAAAUAACAAGAGUUUCUGCACGAGCACUGUUUUAUGUUCAUCUGGUUUAAGCUUAUGAGGUAGUUGCAUCAUAAGGAUCAGAAAUAUAUUGCUUAAUUCUCCAUGUCCAGAAAGCAUAACUCUGUUCAGGAAAAAAAAAAAGGUAUUGUACUGCACUAUCUCGAAUGAACUGGGUUCCGAUCAAUGAAGACGACCACUAGAAUCGUAAGAGAGAUGAGCAAAUUUCAUGUAUUGUUUUCUUCGUAAUCACAAAAUGAUAAUGUACUGUGACCCUGCGACUAUACUAUAAGCGUCGAAGCUACCCGUAAAAAGACGAUGAUGAUGCUGAUUAUAUUGUUGGCUUGGACAAAGACAUUAAAAUGCUGCUAGAAGUAUUGCUAGGAGAAGGGAAGACCCAAGUACAUGUUGUUUCCAUUAAAAUACUCCUAUCAAUUCCACUGCCAAUGAUGGAUCUAACAUAGCAAUACAGCCACGUAAAUUGGCUCUUCAUCUUAGCACCUACAUUCCUUCACAAGUUUCAAAAUUGAGGUCAAUUGUCAUGUUGCCAAGAUCUUCCAUCAUGCACUCUGGUGACUCUGCCUAUGAUCCCAAAGAGAUAACAGGUUUGAAUAAUCUACAUCACAAUUUUCAGUUGCUUAGAUUGUUAAAUCUCUGGGGUAUUAAGACUCUUGACGGAACUUUACCUACACAAAUUGGGAGCUUAGUAAACUUGAGGUAUCUUGGGAUUCGUGCUUCGAAUAUUACAGAACUCCCUGAGUCAGUUGGGAAGUUGAGAUAUCUAUUGACUUUAGAUUACAGGAAUAUUGAAUCUGAUAAUAAUGUAAAAGUUCCUGAUGUCUUGUGCAAGCUUAUGCAACUUAGGCAUCUAUAAGCUUGUUUCCUGGAUGUGCAUUCCCUUAACCUGCAGGGUGAGACAACUCGACAUCUAUGCUCAUUUGCAGAUUCCCGCUCAGCUGCCUCCAGCCCUCUUCAGUUGUCAAACACUCGAGGUCUUGAAGCUCAACGUGUAUCUUGAUCUUGAACUUCCCUCGUCUGUGUGUCUGCCACACGAAGAUGACUCUUUGGCUAGGCUAGUCUCAAGCUAUCCAUCCCUCGAGCACGUGGAUUUAUAUGGUUGCUGGAAUCCUGCUAAUCCUAUUAAAAUUUCUUCAUCUUCUCUCCGUAGAUAAGCUAUGUGCUUUCCAAUUUGGUUUGAAUGCAAAAGGAGCAAACUUACACUGAUGUUCCAAAUUUCGAGUACCUAUUAUACAAGGGCACCUCUGCAAUGGGUUACCCAAUUGGAGAAUCAACUGACAUACUUGAAGCUGAAGUUGAUACUGCUUUCGUCUGUCAUGAGAGGGAUAUCGAGAAUCAAGGCUCGUUAAACUAAUUUCAGGCUUUGAGCCAUUGUGAUAUAGAGCAUAAGCUCCCUGUCUUUCGAAACUUGAAACAUUUGAUGCUUGGUUGUGAAUGCCUACAUUCACUGGAAUAAGCUAUUCAUAUAUCUGCUGAGAUUUACACCUUUUCUAAAAACACUUACUUCUCCAGGUUAGUGUAUUUUCUUCUCUUCCAAAAAUUUUGAUAUAUGAUUUUGCAAACUAUGGUUGUGGUUGUUCUUUAUCCUGACUCUACCAGGACUGCUACCCGGCUAGCCCAUGAUCAGCUUGUGGUACGUUUUCUCACUUGGUUGAUGCACUGUAUUUUGAAGGGAGAAAAUGGGAACUUGAAAUGGUUCUCUUAAGUAUGCGUCAGUUUUGGAGGAACUGGUUGUAUCUUGUUUUACUUCUGUGCCAUUGGCUGAUAGAAAUUUGCUUGAGAGCACAUUACAAAACCUGUCAAGAGUUUCAGCUGACUUGUUCGAUGACAAUCGACUGAUUUUGGGAUUGAUUAUAUAGACAAUCUGGAGCUUAAGGGGUUAGAAGUUAGAACUAAGAAACAGUUUUUGUUCUCUCUUAUUUUGCUUCUUUUGAAUUCUGGUUGUUUUAAAGUUCAGAGAUAGAGUGUGCCUAGAAGAAAUGAACUUCGAAAAGUGUGUAGCUACCUAUGGCUUUCAUUAUCGUGGCCUUUUUCAAACUUCUCCGGCCAUGUAAUAGACAUUAUGUAAUGUCAAAAUCCCUCUUCUUUUAUAAAACAUUUAGGAUGGUUCGAAUUUACAAUAAUUUAUUGUACACCCAAACUGACUUUACACAAAAAUUAACUACAUUAAAAUAAAACUGAGUAUAUCAUAAGAUUGACUAAUAUCAUACAAAAACUGAUUAUAUCAUGCAAAAAUGACUAUACAGAAGGUGAUUAUAUCAUACAAAAACUAAUUACAUCAUUUGUCUUUGGGUGUACAAUAAGUUAUCGACUCUGUUUGGUAACAAUAGUUGAGAAUAAAUUGAAACUGAUACGAUAAAUGUGAAACUGAUAAUGUGUUGGAACUGAUAAGGUAACCGAUUAGCUUAACUGUUUGGCAAAGUUAGUUGCUCAAGUUGAUAGAUCAUUUUUUCAAAGUUAGUUAUCAAAAUUUUUUAAAAAAAAAAUCAACAAUUUCAGUCACAUGAUUUUGUAAAAAGGUAAAAUUUUUAACUUAUUAUUUAAGUCAUUUUAACCACUUAAAAUUUUAUUUUAGUUACUCCUCAAACACUACUAAUCUUUUUAACACCUAAAAUAUAUUAGCACCUAGGUAAAUAAAAUAUUUUUCCAAACAAAUUCAUUGUAAAUUCCGUCUAUUCAAGUUUUUUUUUUUUAGUUUAUUAGUAAAGAAGGCGUGAGCUUAUUUUUAUUUACCAAAAUGACGAGAGUGUAUAUUAUUUUCAUGAUUUUACCAAUAUAGAUUAGUAGCCUUGGGUCUUUGACUUUUAGUUAUGUUCUUUUGGACCGAAUUAAUGAAAAUUCAUUUCAAUUGAGUUCAGAUAAAUUCAAUUCAGUUCAGUUCUGUUCAGACAUGUUCAAUUCAGUUUAUUUCAAGUAUAUUUCGUUUAUUUCGUUUAUCCGGUUUAGUUGAGUUCACGCAAAUUUAAUCGAGUUCAAUUUAGUCCAAUUCGGUCCAAUUUAUUUCAGGUUCAUUCCGUUCGGUUCUGAGGUUUUACUCCUUCCUAAAACGUUGUUAGUUGGAAUAAUUUGAUUCAAGCAAAGCAAUUGACCAAAUAUAGGUGCAGCUGCAAUGGUACCUGGUAAUGGCAGCCGAUUCCUCUACUUCUUGCUGUCUACCUCUCAUUGUCAGCGCCUUCCAUCUACAUUGUUGUAUUCAACAUUAAGAUCUUUAACUUCAACUUCAACUAAAGAAGUUGGAAGUUGGUUUGCUGUCUCGACUUUGUGUUUUCCAGUGGACAAAAGAUGGAUCACAAGGUGCCUUGCAAUUCCUCUCCUCUGUCGAGUUUCUAGUAUUGCCCCUUGCUCUCUUUCUCCCUUUGUGAGUACGAGAAAGGAGCGGGGGCAGAAAUAAACAACUGGAAUCGGUGUUGUGGAUUGUUAUGUCCUCGGGGCUGAUUCCCCACGAAAUGUAUGUGAUGCUAUUAAGGUCACUGUUGGUUCUUUAAGUUGAGGUUAAUGGUUGAGUUUUCUGAUGCAGGCUAAUAACUAAUUCUUCCUACUUGGCAUGGAUCCUAAUGUGAAGAGACUCUAUAGCUUAUCAUGAUGGUCCCCCAUGUCGGUAAGAAGUUGCUUUGAGCUAUUGAGACUCCUUGAAACUUCUAUUAUCAUGAUGGUUCCCCAUGUCCAAGCAUGUUUAUCUCCAAAUUCUUGGAGCGAAAAUCAAGAUUCAAAUGAGGUACUAGCAAUACUUGAAAGAUUAUAUAGGUGAGUAGCUGAUCACAAUAAAUGAGCUAGUGAAGCUCAACGGAUUGACACUCUAUGGAUGCGAGAGGGUCAAGCUGCAGACCUUCGGACAAGGCCCAAGAAGGUGAGCAGACACAUGGUGGUGUUUCUUAUAAGAUUGAGCAAGGCACGUUACAAGAGUGUGUGCGGAGUGUUGCUCGCGACAAUUAGGGAUAGAGCUGGAGUCUGUUGUUGAAGUGAAAGCAACUCCAAUUAGGAAUUUUACCUGUAAUGCUCCCCUUAAUGUCAUGAAAAGAGAUGCAACAGGACCUUAUACUUGAUUAUUCUCUAUAAACAACACAUGUAUUGGCAUGAGCAAGGGGUUCCUCGGAAACACCCCUUUAGGCAGCUUGCUUCUUAUGGAAGUGAUCAUCUGCUCGUCUCAGGUUGUUCGACAUUGUCACUCAAGUUCGCAUUUGAUAGGUCAUCUGUUCCCAUCUACGGACUUUGUUGUACUGAUUCCUAUAUGAUGUACAUUUAAACUAAAAUAUCAUUGUUGAAACUGAAAUAUCAUUGUUGUAUUCAACCUCAACCUCUUCAAGCUCAACUCAACCAAACAACCAAACAACCCCUUAAGGAAGGUUAAUUGGGUAUAGUACAGGGAACUACUCCGCCAUUGCUAUCCCUAGAAUGAAGUAUCUAAAAUUUCCAUUGAAAGCUUAAUUUUCAUCUACUUGUCAUUUACAUUCACCCCUUUUUAAGUAGCUCCCCUAUUGG